CCUACGGGAGGCAGCAGUGGGGAAUUUUGGACAAUGGGGGCAACCCUGAUCCAGCCAUGCCGCGUGAGUGAAGAAGGCCUUCGGGUUGUAAAGCUCUUUCAGCCGGGAAGAAAAUGCAUGGGUUAAUACCCUGUGCAGAUGACGGUACCGGA
Molecule: ribosomal RNA, 152 nt
Filed under: uncultured beta proteobacterium
Lineage: Bacteria; Pseudomonadati; Pseudomonadota; Betaproteobacteria
Description: partial 16S ribosomal RNA
Rfam family: Bacterial small subunit ribosomal RNA
Source: RNAcentral